AACAGACCAAUGGAGCGGGGACGUCCAGGGAGGAAGGCGGGGUGGGGGCGGUGGCCAAUGGGCCCACGGCGUGGGCGGGCCGAGGCGCUCCGGAAGCGGGCAGGGGAAAGUGGUGGCCGGCUCGAAGUGGGAGUACGGCGACCUGGGCGGAAAGCGGGACCUGGCGGGUGGGUACUCAGCCGGGCCGGGCCCUCGGAGCUGCAACUGGACUACGUCAAGCAGAAGGUCAACUGCCACGAUUUCUCCAUGGUCGCCCUUUUUUCUGCGGCCACAGUACAGGACAGAUGGAAAGGAUCCAGAGUGCUCUGUGAAUAUGAGAUGCACUAUAUUUUCCAGAAAUUCCUGACUUUAUUGCGGAUGGAAUUUUGGUUUUUUCACCAGUUUUGCUGUGUACUGUGUGCUAAAAGCAAUGACCGCCACAGGAUCCUGUUUUGGAAUCUGCAUGGAGCUGGUGAGUGGAGAGCUAACGGUGCUUUUGAAGAGGGGGUUUUGUGGAAGAGGUUGGUGUUGAUGGGUGCGAUGCUGGCUGCUGACACUGUUUUGUGCACUGUGUGUUUUUGUUGCAGAUGGUGACUAGGACCCCGGUGACUACAGGAACGUCCCAGCUAGCGGAUGGGGGUCGGUGGUUUUGUGUUGAGGACAGAUGCAGGCCCCUAGCCCUGUGAAAGCUAAGUGGAGGGACCAGGGCUGGGGAGGGAUUGGGAGGAGGAGGGGACAACUUGGCAAUUGUAGGAGGGGUUUUGAAGUUGUGUGGUAUUAGAAAGAACAUGUGCCUGGUGGCUCUGAGUAUACAUGGCAGCUCAGUGAAGUGUUUCUGGUUUUGCAGGCUGUGUGGGCUGCCUUUUGAAAUGGGUGAGUGUUUGAGGUGAGCUGGGUAAUGGAGAGGAGGCACACUGGGCUGGUGAUUUCUUGCACAUUCAAUGGUAUUUUUGUGUCUCUUGGUUUCUUAGGUACCACAAACAGAUUGGCUCUGGAAUCCAUGCAGAGAUUUCUGCCUGGCUUUCAGGGGCACGUUUCCCUGGCAGUCUGGUAGCAUCUCUCUGGUGCAGUGCUGCCAGCCAGAUGUCCCUCUCCCUUGGGUAGGACAGGAAAAAGCCCCCGGUCAAAUGAUGACUGGGCGUUUUGGAGACGGAGAGCACAAUGGUGUCAGUUCAGAGCUGGGCCAGUUAAAUUAGUGCCAAAGGAAAGUCAAACACUUUUAUAGUGUAUUUUUAUUGACUGUAUCUAAACGUACACAGAGCUUUCCAGGGAAAGGGAAGGGAGGAGGCGCUUCCCCCCCACCGGGCAGAGGGGUUUGUUACACUGUUGGGCUGAGAAGGUGUUCCAAGUGGCAUCAGUCAGUCUUAAUAGGGACUUGAAGCGUCGGGAGGGCUCUGGCUUUGGCAGGCUGUGCCGUCUUUGAAGCUGAGCUGUUUCCCCAGAAUCAUCCUGUAGCUCAGCUUCUGUCCUGUCCCUCAGUCUGAGGGAAUUCCUCUACUCUCUCCUCUGUGCUGUUUUGUUUGAUGCUGAACUACAGUUGGGGAUUGUUGUUUUGCAGGUGCUUCGUUGUCCACGUCUCAUGCUGCUUGAUAGCUGCCCCAGCCUGGGUUUGCAGCCAGUGGUGGGCCUGAGGGGAAGGGACCAGCCCUGGGUCUGGGCAUUUGGUGCUGUCUUUUUGCGGUGAAUAAAAAGGUGGGGGGAGGGUAUUUGGAGAGUGAU
This 1698-nucleotide long non-coding RNA is filed under the name Calidris pugnax (ruff). RNAcentral describes it as "lncRNA (ENSCPUG00000016133.1)". The record is from RNAcentral. Lineage: Eukaryota; Metazoa; Chordata; Aves; Charadriiformes; Scolopacidae.